GAUGAACGCUGGCGGCGCGCCUAACACAUGCAAGUCGAACGAUUAAAGCACCUUCGGGUGUGUAUAAAGUGGCGAACGGCUGAGUAACGCGUGGGCAACCUGCCCCUCUCAUUGGGAUAGCCACGGGAAACCGUGGAUAAUACCGAAUACUUCGGGACUUCCGCAUGGAAGACUCGAGAAAGCUCCGGCGGAGAGGGAUGGGCCCGCGGCCUGUUAGCUUGUUGGUGGGGUAAUGGCCUACCAAGGCAAUGAUGGGUAGCUGGGUUGAGAGACCGACCAGCCAGAUUGGGACUGAGACACGGCCCAGACUCCUACGGGAGGCAGCAGUGGGGAAUCUUGCACAAUGGGCGAAAGCCUGAUGCAGCGACGCCGCGUGCGGGAUGAAGGCCUUCGGGUUGUAAACCGCUUUCAGCAGGGACGAGGCGAAAGUGACGGUACCUGCAGAAGAAGCCCCGGCUAACUACGUG
Molecule: ribosomal RNA, 467 nt
Filed under: uncultured bacterium
Lineage: Bacteria
Description: partial 16S ribosomal RNA
Rfam family: Bacterial small subunit ribosomal RNA
Source: RNAcentral